GGUGUUGUGGACUAGUUGGUAGGGCGUUGCUCUCUGACAAUAAGGACCCGGGUUCGAAUCCCACUCUUUCCA
RNAcentral lists this transfer RNA (72 nucleotides) under Pleuronectes platessa (European plaice). RNAcentral's name for it is "tRNA-Gln". The record is from RNAcentral. Lineage: Eukaryota; Metazoa; Chordata; Actinopteri; Pleuronectiformes; Pleuronectidae.